This is a long non-coding RNA of Microtus ochrogaster (prairie vole), 339 nucleotides long. RefSeq lists it as uncharacterized. NCBI's taxonomy places the organism in Eukaryota, Metazoa, Chordata, Mammalia, Rodentia, Cricetidae. The record is from RefSeq and is a predicted model, not a curated record. The transcript has 3 exons.
GAGCUUGGAGUUUUUGGGACCACUGCCCAAAGUGAACCCGCCGAGACUCUCCGGUUUAUCAAAUGUGACUUCAUCAUAAGCUAAGAAGCCUCAAUACUGGGAUGCGACGCCGGAGAGAUAGCUCAUUGGUUGAGAGCCCUUGCUGCCAAUCCCGAUGACUCAAUAAAAAGCAACAGGAAUUGAUGUAAAGAGAAAAAGAAAUAUGAAGAGUCACACCCCACAAUUUCAUCUUGUAAAUGAGCUCAGGAAAUGAGAAUGGAGGGAAAGCCCCUGGGGCUGGCGGCCUGUGCUCCUGUCACUGCAGACAUCUGGGUUUUAAUGACAUGAUAUGGUAAGAAU